UUACAACCUUCAUAGUGGUGUAGUCCCAGCGUACAAAUUUUUGAACAUAUUUUUCAAUUGUCCCGCACUUUUAUUUUUGAAGUCAGAUGUAAAAAUUUGACAGCUACGCGUCUAUGGACAGGAUUGGCGAUUCGUUUCGCAAUGCAACCAACAAAAAAAACAGAAAGCUAUCAAAAUAAUUUGUGAGUGUCGGUCGAAGAUGGCGCAUAGACAGCGAAGAACUUUACAGAUCUUCGUGAUAAAGAAAUAAUAAAUUACCUAAACGAAUCUGAGUUCGAAGAUGACAGCGGCGAUGAAUAUUCCGCAGAUCCCGUUGCUUUUCAAAUAAAUUUUUCUAGUUCCGAAUCUUCAGACGAAGAGACCAUACAACAUCUAGCACCACCAAGACUUCCUAAUCGACCAAGUCGUGGAAGUAGUCGUAGUCAUGGGCUCAAAGCAACAGAGGACAGAGUGUAUCAAGAAGAGGUUCCCGAACUCGUUGAGGGUAUCCAGGAAGAAGUUCGUCAAAUAAUGCCAGCGCGUCGUCAUCUUCGACUAACACCCAACGCGAAUGGUUCCUUUUUUGUUUCUAUUACUUAAAAGACUGUUUCUAGAAGUUUUGAUUAUUUACGUUCAUAUUUCGAAUAAAAAAUUAUAUGAAA
Amyelois transitella is the source of this 641-nucleotide long non-coding RNA. RefSeq lists it as uncharacterized. NCBI's taxonomy places the organism in Eukaryota, Metazoa, Arthropoda, Insecta, Lepidoptera, Pyralidae. The transcript is spliced from 2 exons. The record is from RefSeq and is a predicted model, not a curated record.